AGCUUGCUCCGAUCGGAUUAGUGGCGGACGGGUGAGUAACGCGUGAGUAACCUGCCUGCGAGAGGGGGAUAACAACGGGAAACUGUUGCUAAUACCGCAUAACGCAUCGAUUCCGCAUGGAGAUGAUGCCAAAGGGAAACCGCUUGCAGAUGGACUCGCGUCUGAUUAGGUAGUUGGUGAGGUAACGGCUCACCAAGCCGACGAUCAGUAGCCGGACUGAGAGGUUGAACGGCCACAUUGGAACUGAGACACGGUCCAAACUCC
This 264-nucleotide ribosomal RNA is filed under the name uncultured bacterium. RNAcentral's name for it is "partial 16S ribosomal RNA". It matches the Rfam family "Bacterial small subunit ribosomal RNA", at positions 77 to 339 of the family's 1533-position model. The record is from RNAcentral.